GGAACUUGAGGACGCCUGCCUGGGAAAGUGGCGCCCGGCUUCCGGGGCCCUGCGGGAAAAUGGCCUUUUCCUUGGAUUUUGCAACUCUGAUUCGGCGUGCACGAUUGGAAAUCGUGCAGGUCACCUACAGUGAGCCCAGUCCUGCCGGUGCUGCACUUCUAUAGCCUUCGUAAUCUCGACACCCAGUGUGGAGCUCCAACUCACAACCCCAAGAUCAAGAAUCGCAUGCUCCACCGACAGAGCCAGCCGGUGCCCCGAUCUUGCCAAUCUUAAAGAAAGCUAAAGCGGGGAUUUACCAAACACAAGACUUGUUUACCAUUGCAGAAAACUCCUAUCACCAAUGGUAAAGCUGCUAGUGGUAUUCGACUCACUGACUUAACACCUCACUUCCAUCUACACCCGCAGCUGUUACAGAGAGGGAGAGAUUCCGCGUUCGGGGGCAAACAUCCAACCACUCCAUUGCAGCUCUAGGUAUUCACAGGCAAGCCAAGGUAUGAGUUCGUAACACAUUACUUUGCUUUCCUUUCUUCUUUAUAUUAAAGUCUUUAAAAUAUAUAAGAAUUGGGUGUGUUGGUAGGUAAUAUUAUCCACGAGUUGCAUUUCAGAAUAGUAAAGAGGAUGUUUAAAAACAUUUGCUAUGAAAAGGGACCAUUGGGCUGUGGUAGCAUUGAGAGCAGUUGCUGGCGACCUCUGGUGGCACACUCGAGCAUUGCUUCACUCAGCUAGUGGUUCUUGGGCUUAAAAGCUUGUUGGCUCCAAAAUGUGAUAAAAAAAAAUGACCUUUUUGGCAAAACUCAAAGCAAAAAAUUCCCUGAGUUGUUCUUGGCCGUCUAUCUCAUCUGUCGUCAUUUGGAUCCACCCCCACCCCGGGCCACACAGCUACCAUUCCCUAAAGUGAAGCCUGGUCCUUUCCGGGGAAGGAUGCCGCUGCACAGGGCUCCUCCUUGUUGAUGUGCUGGAGACCGAGCCGGGGAAAUGGAGGGAAAGUCAGGAGCUGAGGGAAGUAACGCCAACCCCAGGUCUCUGUUCAGAACUAGAAAAUGUAAGCAAAGAGGCAGCUUAUGUCACAUCCCAUUAUUUUUUCUGUCUUACCUGCUGGGGCCUCCCGGCUUUUUCCCCUCCAUGCAUAGCAAGGUCCCGGCGUGUACUUUCAGCACAAGCUUUCCUUACACAAGUGAUUCUCCAUCUUAGCAUGCAUGAGCCUCACCAGUCCGGGCGCGGCCUGUCGGGGCCGCC
Molecule: long non-coding RNA, 1236 nt
Organism: Herpailurus yagouaroundi (jaguarundi)
Lineage: Eukaryota; Metazoa; Chordata; Mammalia; Carnivora; Felidae
Exons: 3
Source: RefSeq, a predicted model, not a curated record